RNAcentral lists this transfer RNA (73 nucleotides) under Stegodyphus mimosarum. It matches the Rfam family "tRNA". Rfam says of the family: Transfer RNA (tRNA) molecules are approximately 80 nucleotides in length. Their secondary structure includes four short double-helical elements and three loops (D, anti-codon, and T loops). Further hydrogen bonds mediate the characteristic L-shaped molecular structure. tRNAs have two regions of fundamental functional importance: the anti-codon, which is responsible for specific mRNA codon recognition, and the 3' end, to which the tRNAs corresponding amino acid is attached (by aminoacyl-tRNA synthetases). tRNAs cope with the degeneracy of the genetic code in two manners: having more than one tRNA (with a specific anti-codon) for a particular amino acid; and 'wobble' base-pairing, i.e. permitting non-standard base-pairing at the 3rd anti-codon position. Lineage: Eukaryota; Metazoa; Arthropoda; Arachnida; Araneae; Eresidae. The record is from Rfam by way of RNAcentral.
GCCUUCGUGGUGUAGUGGUAAGCACACUGAGUCGGUAUUUCAGAGGUCCGUGGUUCGAUUCCCGGCGAAGGCA